RNAcentral lists this ribosomal RNA (253 nucleotides) under uncultured prokaryote. Its description in RNAcentral is "partial 16S ribosomal RNA". It matches the Rfam family "Bacterial small subunit ribosomal RNA", at positions 524 to 776 of the family's 1533-position model. The record is from RNAcentral.
UACAGAGGGUGCAAGCGUUGUUCGGAAUUAUUGGGCGUAAAGAGCUCGUAGGCGGUUUGUCGCGUCGGCCGUGAAAACUUGGGGCUUAACCCCGAGCCUGCGGUCGAUACGGGCAGACUUGAGUUCGGCAGGGGAGACUGGAAUUCCUGGUGUAGCGGUGAAAUGCGUAGAUAUCGGGAGGAACACCUGUGGCGAAAGCGGCGCACUGGACCAUAACUGACGCUGAGGCGCGAAAGCUAGGGGAGCAAACAGG